UGCGAUAAUACGCGCGAAACCUUACCAGCUUUUGCAUGAUGAACAAAUCUUUUUGAGAAAAAAGAAAGAGUUUACACAGGUGCUGCAUGGCUGUCGUCAGCCCGUGUCGUAAGAUGUUAGGUUAACUCCUUUUAACGGGCGAAACCCCCUUUUCUUGUUGCUAUUUGCUUGGAAAAGGAAGGAACUCUAGAAAGACUGCUGCUGGUUUUUUUAAAGACCAGAAAGAGGAAGGAGGGGAUGACGUCAAGGCUUUAUGGCCCUUAUAAGCUGGGCUACACACGUGCUACAAUGGCAAUGACAACGAGAGGCAAUAGGGUAACCUGGAGCCAAUCUUAAAAAAUUGCCAAUGUUCAGAUUGAGGGCUGAAACUCGCCCUCAUGAAGGUGGAAUCACUAGUAAUCGCGAAUCAGCACGUCGCGGUGAAUUUGUACCUAGGCCUUGUACACACCGCCCGUCACGUGCCGGGAGUUGGUCUGGCUAGAAGAAUGUGGCUCAACUUUAGGAGAAGAAAGAUUUUUCUUUUUAGAAGAGAAAACUUCCUUUGGGAAGGAGGGAGCAUUCCCACAGAUGGGUCGAUGACUG
Molecule: ribosomal RNA, 582 nt
Filed under: uncultured bacterium
Lineage: Bacteria
Description: partial 16S ribosomal RNA
Rfam family: Bacterial small subunit ribosomal RNA
Source: RNAcentral